Molecule: ribosomal RNA, 241 nt
Filed under: uncultured Staphylococcus sp.
Lineage: Bacteria; Bacillati; Bacillota; Bacilli; Caryophanales; Staphylococcaceae
Description: partial 16S ribosomal RNA
Rfam family: Bacterial small subunit ribosomal RNA
Source: RNAcentral
CGGACGGGUGAGUAACACGUGGAUAACCCACCUAUAAGACUGGGAUAACUUCGGGAAACCGGAGCUAAUACCGGAUAAUAUAUUGAACCGCAUGGUUCAAUAGUGAAAGACGGUUUUGCUGUCACUUAUAGAUGGAUCCGCGCCGCAUUAGCUAGUUGGUAAGGUAACGGCUUACCAAGGCGACGAUGCGUAGCCGACCUGAGAGGGUGAUCGGCCACACUGGAACUGAGACACGGUCCAG